AGCCUGACUGCAGUAAUGGACCACGAAAAAACUAUUUGGAUAAAAGAGGAAACAAGUGAGAUAUCAGGUUCACCAGGUUCCAUUGUCCAGGUAUACCCCUGUAGUGUGAAAAUAAAGGAAGAACCACAGGAGACUGGGAAUCAAGAGUUACUUCAAGAUCCAUUAAAAAUUGAGGCUCCAUUUUACAACACAAAGGAAGAUCCAGGACUGAAAU
Schistocerca americana (American grasshopper) is the source of this 214-nucleotide long non-coding RNA. RefSeq lists it as uncharacterized. The transcript has 3 exons. NCBI's taxonomy places the organism in Eukaryota, Metazoa, Arthropoda, Insecta, Orthoptera, Acrididae. The record is from RefSeq and is a predicted model, not a curated record.